Molecule: RNA transcript, 3015 nt
Organism: Alnus glutinosa
Lineage: Eukaryota; Viridiplantae; Streptophyta; Magnoliopsida; Fagales; Betulaceae
Gene name: conserved oligomeric Golgi complex subunit 5
Exons: 4
Source: RefSeq, a predicted model, not a curated record
CAGUCCCAGACUGCUGGUGCUCGAGAGUCAAGAUCUCCCCCUCGAAGCGGCCCUCUCCUGUGUCCCGAUAAAAGAAACCAAAAGCAUUUCUGAAACCGAAAACAACCCGCGAAAUGGCGUCACCAGCAUCACCACUCCAAAAAUCCUCUUCCCCUCUCCAACUCCUCUCCACCCUCAACAACCCCACCACUACCGCCACAUCCGCUCUCGAGUCCCUCGCCUCCGACCCCAUCCUCUCCGCCUUCCUCUCUGCUUCCUUCUCCACCACCUCCUUCUCCUCCGCCGCUCUUUCCUCCGGCUCGCCCGCCUCCACCGCCGAGAAGCUCCACGCUGCCAUCCGCCUCCUCGACUCCCAGCUCCGCCACGAGGUGCUUUCCCGCCACGACGACCUCCUCUCCCAGCUCUCGUCCCUCCACCACGCCGAGCUCGCCCUCUCCACCCUCCGCUCCUCCGUCUCCUCCCUCCACUCCUCCCUCCGCAAGGCCCGCUCCGACCUCUCCGACCCCCUCCGCUCCAUCCGCUCCAAAACCCUCCAGCUCUCCAAUCUCCACUCCGCCUCCGACCUCCUCAACCACUCCGUCCGCGCCCUCCGCCUUUCUCGCAAGCUCCGCGACCUCGCGCCCCUCCACGACCCCGAAAAGCUCGAUCUCGCUAAGGCCGCCCAGCUCCACGCCGAGAUCUUGACCCUUUGCCAAGAGUACGACCUCUCCGGCAUCCACGUCGUUGACGAGGAGCUCCGAUUCGUCAAGGAGGCCGGGGAAAAACUCCGAUCUGAAGCAAUGAAGGUACUCGAAAGAGGAAUGGAGGGCUUGAACCAAGCCGAGGUGGGGACCGGCUUACAGGUUUUCUACAACUUGGGCGAGCUGAGAGGGACCGUGGAGCAGUUGGUGAAUAGGUACAAGGGGAUGGCGGUGAAGAGCAUUGGCGUGGCGUUGGAUAUGAAGGCGAUCACGGCAGGCUCGGGCGGGGCGUUCGGGCCGGGAGGGGUGAGGGGGAGCGGGACGCCUCAGAUAGGCGGAGGGGCGAAGGCGAGGGAGGCGCUGUGGCAGAGGAUGGGCAGUUGCAUGGAUCAAUUGCAUUCCAUCGUGGUGGCGGUCUGGCACUUGCAGAGGGUCUUGUCCAAGAAACGAGAUCCCUUUACGCACGUUUUGCUGCUGGAUGAGGUUCUUCAGGAAGGCGAUUCCAUGUUAACGGAUCGAGUCUGGGAGGCAAUUGUUAAAGCUUUUGCAAGCCAAAUGAAAUCUGCUUUCACUGCAUCAAGUUUUGUGAAAGAGAUAUUUACAAUGGGGUACCCCAAACUCUUCUCCAUUAUAGAGAACCUUCUUGAAAGAAUUUCGCAUGAUACUGACGUCAAAGGGGUUUUACCAGCUAUCAGUUCAGAGGGCAGAGUUCAAAUGGUUGCAGCAGUUGAAAUAUUCCAGACAGCAUUCUUGGCUCUUUGCUUGAGUCGCCUGUCAGAUCUUGUGAAUUCCAUAUUUCCUGUGUCCAGCCGUGGAAGUGUUCCCUCCAAAGAACAUAUCUCAAAGAUUAUAUCACGCAUUCAGGAAGAGAUCGAAGCUGUUCAGCUGGACGGGCAUUUGACCCUUCUUGUCUUGCGUGAAAUUGGCAAGGCUUUGAUCCUGCUUGCACAACGUGCUGAGUACCAGAUAUCCACUGGUCCUGAAGCGCGCCAAGUAAGUGGUCCAGCAACUGCCGCGCAACUGAAGAACUUCACAUUAUGUCAACAUCUACAAGAAAUUCAUACACGCAUAUCUUCAAUGAUUACUGGACUUCCCAGCAUUGCUGCAGAUGUGUUGUCUCCCUCGUUAGGUGCAGUAUAUGGGGUUGCCUGUGACUCAGUGACCUCCUUAUUCCAGGCAAUGCUUGAGCGCCUUGAGUCUUGCAUCUUGCAAAUUCAUGACCAAAAAUUUGGUGCGCUUGGUAUGGAUGCUGCAAUGGACAACAACGCAUCACCUUACAUGGAGGAGUUGCAGAAGUGCAUUCUUCACUUCCGUAGUGAGUUCCUAUCUAGGCUGCUGCCUUCUGCAACAAAUGCUACCGCUGGAGGGGCGGAAACCAUAUGCACUAGGCUUGUUAGGAACAUGGCUUCACGGGUUCUAAUAUUCUUUAUCAGGCAUGCUUCUCUCGUUAGACCCCUUUCAGAAUCGGGCAAGCUUAGGAUGGCCAGAGACAUGGCUGAGCUGGAGUUAGCUGUGGGUCAGAAUUUGUUCCCAGUAGAGCAACUUGGUGCACCAUACCGAGCCCUUCGAGCAUUCCGACCUCUUAUUUUCUUAGAAACAUCUCAACUGGGAGAUUCUCCCCUUCUUCAAGAUUUGCCACUAAGUGUAAUUCUUCACCAUCUUUACUCCAGAGGCCCUGAAGCAUUGCAGUCACCGCUGCAAAGAAACAAACUUACACCUCUGCAGUAUUCCUUGUGGCUAGAUUCUCAAGGUGAGGAUCAGAUCUGGAAAGGUAUCAAGGCAACUCUGGAUGAUUAUGCUGCAAAUGUUAGGGUCAGAGGAGACAAGGAGUUUAGCCCUGUAUAUCCUCUUAUGCUUCGAUUAGGAUCGUCCUUGACAGGGAAUACUCCAGCAUCCCAAAAGCCUUGAUAAUUUAGUAUACCUCUUUUAAAAUCAUUCUCAAACCAGAAUGGUGUUCACCAGGUUUUUGCCUUUAGGUAGAUGUUGCAGGUGGAACUUGGAAAUAGUUGCCGAAACUUCACAAAAGACCAUACUGGUUCAAGUGGCAACUUUGAGUAGGUUCAUACUUGAUGGCUGGAUCCGCAGAAUGGCUGCAUCGAUUUCAUUUGUAUCUAGUCUAGAAUAUUUUUCGAGUUUGGUUAUUGUAUCCAUUGUUUCACCCACUUGUCGUCCUUUCAUUUGUAGUCAUAAUAUUCCCUAAUUCUUGUGUAAAAUAUAAAAAUGUUCGACAGAUCUCAUGUAAUAGUUACACUGAUAAGGAAAUUCUGUUUUAAAAAAAAAAAAAAAAAAGAACAUCUUCAACAUUCGGAUUGUGGGAUGUUGCAUCUUUAAUUAA